This 632-nucleotide long non-coding RNA is filed under the name Homo sapiens (human). RNAcentral describes it as "HSALNT0347675". Lineage: Eukaryota; Metazoa; Chordata; Mammalia; Primates; Hominidae. The record is from RNAcentral.
GGGCCCAGGGGCAUCAGCAGCCGCGGGCUCUCGGCCGCCGCCUGGGAACUCAGGGAUCUUCCUCUUACUUGACUGGGGAAUCCAAUCAGGAGCAGUGAAAGAUAUGCAAAUACCUUGAUGAUUUGCUCUUAUAAGGACUCAUCACUUCUCAAAAAACUUCCAAAUACACCUAAAAUGAGUUAUUCUUAAGAAGGAGAAUGAGGAUCCAACCCUUUAACUGAGAUCAAGAUCUAUUCCUGAGCAUCAAUGAGAGAAGACUGGACCAUGUGGGAACAGCUUAGAGUGAAGCCAACUCCCCAGCUUAGGAGACCAAGUGAGGAAUGCAACACUAGGAUUCUUGACCAGAUUUCUACUAAAGCAAAGACUUAAGAAUGCACAGAAUACUAACAACUAUUGGCCAUUUUAUUCUGAAAUAUUUGUCCCAGGAUUUCACUUAAUUUGCUGAAGAUAAUGAGGUAAAUGGCUAGCCCAAAUUUUGCCUAAAUCUAACAUAAUGUAGAUACUUCCCUUAAAAUCAUAGAAUGUAUAUAGGCAAAAGGAAAACUCAAAUAACAGCUAAGGAAAACUACUGAUCAGCUGGGACAAUAUGUUUGUUGGAGUAAAAACCAGUUACUCAUUCACACGCAUACGUA